This 252-nucleotide ribosomal RNA is filed under the name uncultured bacterium. RNAcentral describes it as "partial 16S ribosomal RNA". It matches the Rfam family "Bacterial small subunit ribosomal RNA", at positions 524 to 776 of the family's 1533-position model. The record is from RNAcentral.
UACGAAGGGGGCUAGCGUUGUUCGGAUUUACUGGGCGUAAAGCGCACGUAGGCGGAUUGUUAAGUGAGGGGUGAAAUCCUGGAGCUCAACUCCAGAACUGCCUUUCAUACUGGCAAUCUAGAGUCCGGAAGAGGUAAGUGGAACUCCUAGUGUAGAGGUGGAAUUCGUAGAUAUUAGGAAGAACACCAGUGGCGAAGGCGGCUACUGGUCCGGUACUGACGCUGAGGUGCGAAAGCGUGGGGAGCAAACAGG